ACCUCUCUCUCUCUCUCUCUCUCUCUCUCUCUCUCUCUCUCUCUCUCCCCCCCCCCCCCCCUCCCUCUCCCUUCUCAACCUUCACCCCAAUCUCGAUUUACCCGAUGAGGCCCGUUAACAUGUGGAUUAAGGCUUGGCGGGGGGAUCCAACUCUGAUCAAGAUUAUAGUGAGUUUGGUGUCCAGAUCCACCUUCACAUAUAAAUAGCACAAUAACGUUUAGUGGGCAUAACAUUUCACUCUAGAACAAUCAAGAUUUUUACAAAAAAUUUAAAGGAGUACAAACACAGUGCAUUAUAAAACAAAAUUCAUAUCUGUAACAUUGAGCCGAUUCAUCAUUUAAAUAUGAGAAACAUAUUUAUACAUGCCGUUGAAGCUUCAUUAAAUUCAAAUUAUGCAGAAAAAACUAAUUGAUUUCAGAAUAAAUUUCAGUAAUGAAGGCUAGCUAAGCCUACGCUCCGGGUUGUCAAACGCAGCGCAUGGACACGGGUGUAAAACCCAGUGCCAGGUCGUUGAAUAAUGAGAAGACACGUUCGCCGUGGUAGCCGUGAUCUAAAUGUGCAUAGUCUAUGAGUAACGGAGAUAGAAGCCCAUGCAAUUUGCAGCGUGGGUACGCUCAUCAACGCAUAUUCUGACGGAUCCAUACAAAAGUGGGAGCCUUCAGCCGAAAUAGCCUUCGGCUGGAGAGAAAAUCAUCAGAGUCUGAGCUCUAUCCUAGAAACGAAAUUGAGAAACAAGAAUAUAACUGCAGCGAAACCAAAUCAAGUAGCUCAGAUCCAAUAACCAGCUUUCGAUUUUGUGUCUGGUUUCAUUAAACAAUUUAGAACGGGACCUCAAGACCCUUUCGUUCCCCUUUUACUUAUUUAUUUCUUUCCUAAUCAAAGUGAUGAGGACGUAACCCUGACGAGAUCGAUAGGCUCCUCUUGAUGUGUCACCAAAACAUCAAUAAGAAACAGGCCUUCGACGGAAAUGACUAGAAAAAUCUACAGCGACGAACACUAAUGAAUCCAUUGGCUAUCUCAAUUUUAGAUGAUGACAUCAAUGCACAUAUGUAGUUUCCAACAGACCCAAAAGGCUGUACGAACAACAUUACAACUCAGAUCUUAUCCAGAAGAGCAACGAACAGCUUUCACUAAACCCAAACCCCAUGCCAGAGUCCUUGAGCUUGCGCCGAAAAUUUAGAGAGCGAGAGAGAGAGAGAGAGAGAUAGGCAGACCUUCCGAGAUUGUCUGGCGUUCCAGACCGGACGCAGGCGGCAAGACGACACAGAAAUGUGAAAGAAGGGGUCACCUAGGGCUUGUGCAGGAGAGACGGCCGCCUCUAAACGCUUCGGAACCCCGGUUCCCCAGCGUCAACUGUCACGUGCCAUGCGCAUUCCC
This 1377-nucleotide long non-coding RNA is filed under the name Spirodela polyrhiza (greater duckweed). RNAcentral's name for it is "long non-coding RNA (SPOL_LNC000226)". The record is from RNAcentral. Lineage: Eukaryota; Viridiplantae; Streptophyta; Magnoliopsida; Alismatales; Araceae.